UAGGGAAACUUCGGCAAUGGGGGGAACCCUGACCGAGCAACGCCGCGUGAGUGAAGAAGGUUUUCGGAUCGUAAAGCUCUGUUGUUAAGGAAGAACGAGUGUGAGAAUGGAAAGUUCAUACUGUGACGGUACUUAACCAGAAAGGGACGGCUAACUACGUGCCAGCAGCCGCGGUAAUACGUAGGUCCCGAGCGUUGUCCGGAUUUAUUGGGCGUAAAGCGAGCGCAGGCGGUUAGAUAAGUCUGAAGUUAAAGGCAGUGGCUCAACCAUUGUAGGCUUUGGAAACUGUUUAACUUGAGUGCAGAAGGGGAGAGUGGAAUUCCAUGUGUAGCGGUGAAAUGCGUAGAUAUAUGGAGGAACACCGGUGGCGAAAGCGGCUCUCUGGUCUGUAACUGACGCGGAGGCUCGAAAGCGUGGGGAGCGAACAGG
Molecule: ribosomal RNA, 429 nt
Filed under: Bacteroidota bacterium
Lineage: Bacteria; Pseudomonadati; Bacteroidota
Description: Bacteroidetes bacterium partial 16S ribosomal RNA
Rfam family: Bacterial small subunit ribosomal RNA
Source: RNAcentral